GAUGAAGAACGCAGCGAAAUGCGAUACGUAAUGUGAAUUGCAGAAUUCAGUGAAUCAUCGAGUCUUUGCACGCACAUUGCGCCCCCUGGUAUUCCGGGGGGCAUGCCUGUCCGAGCGUCAUUGCUGCCCUCAAGCACGGCUUGUGUGUUGGGCCUCCGUCCUCCUCCCGGGGGACGGGCCCGAAAGGCAGCGGCGGCACCGCGUCCGGUCCUCGAGCGUAUGGGGCUUCGUCACCCGCUCUUGUAGGCCCGGCCGGCGCUUGCCGACACAUCAAUCUUUUUUCCAGGUUGACCUCGGAUCAGGUAGGGAUACCCGCUGAACUUAAGCAUAUCAAUAAGCGGAGGA
RNAcentral lists this unclassified non-coding RNA (345 nucleotides) under soil metagenome. RNAcentral describes it as "partial contains 5.8S ribosomal RNA, internal transcribed spacer 2, and large subunit ribosomal RNA". The stretch from base 1 to 120 matches the Rfam family "5.8S ribosomal RNA", at positions 35 to 154 of the family's 154-position model. The record is from RNAcentral.